UGCCGUCACGAUAGAUAACUAUGAAUCAGGUCAGGACAGGAAUGUAGCAGCCUUAAGUAACUUGUUUAUGUGUGACGGU
RNAcentral lists this signal recognition particle RNA (79 nucleotides) under bovine gut metagenome. Its description in RNAcentral is "Bacterial small signal recognition particle RNA". It matches the Rfam family "Bacterial small signal recognition particle RNA", at positions 9 to 85 of the family's 97-position model. Rfam says of the family: The signal recognition particle (SRP) is a universally conserved ribonucleoprotein involved in the co-translational targeting of proteins to membranes. Archaeal SRP consists of a 7S RNA and homologues of the eukaryotic SRP19 and SRP54 proteins. The record is from RNAcentral.